UAAAUGUUACAGGGGAACUUCCCGGAGAAU
Molecule: non-coding RNA, 30 nt
Filed under: Rattus norvegicus (Norway rat)
Lineage: Eukaryota; Metazoa; Chordata; Mammalia; Rodentia; Muridae
Source: RNAcentral